This 138-nucleotide ribosomal RNA is filed under the name uncultured eukaryote. RNAcentral describes it as "partial 18S ribosomal RNA". It matches the Rfam family "Eukaryotic small subunit ribosomal RNA", at positions 1299 to 1458 of the family's 1831-position model. The record is from RNAcentral.
UGGUGGAGUGAUUUGUCUGGUUAAUUCCGAUAACGAACGAGACCUUAACCUGCUAAAUAGUUGCGUCCACUUUGGUGAACGAUCAACUUCUUAGAGGGACUAUGCACGUUUAGUGCAUGGAAGUUUGAGGCAAUAACA